Molecule: ribosomal RNA, 1388 nt
Filed under: Misgolas hubbardi
Lineage: Eukaryota; Metazoa; Arthropoda; Arachnida; Araneae; Idiopidae
Description: eukaryotic LSU rRNA
Rfam family: Eukaryotic large subunit ribosomal RNA
Source: RNAcentral
GGAGGAAAAGAAACCAACUGGGAUUCCCUUAGUAACGGCGAGCGAACAGGGAAGAGUCCAGCGCCGAAUUCCGCGCUCUUUGCGGGCGUCGGAAAAUGUGGCGUUUAGGAGGGAGCGUGCCGGGAGUCUGACCUUGCAGCAAGUCCCCCUGACCGGGGCAGUUACCCAGAGUGGGUGCGAGGCCCAUAGCUGCUCGGUCUCUCUCGGAUGCGACCUCUUGGGAGUCGGGUUGCUUGGGAGUGCAACCCUAAUUGGGUGGUAAACUCCACCUAAGACUAAAUACGGCCGUGAGACCGAUAGCAAACAAGUACCGUGAGGGAAAGUUGCAAAGAACUUUGAAGAGAGAGUUCAAGAGUACGUGAAACUGCUCAGAGGCAAACGGGUGGGCCCUCGAAAUCCGUCGGCGGGGGAUUCAGUCGGGAAGUGUGGGCUCGUGCGCCAGUCGUUUCAUCGGACCCUUUCCUGGGCCGGGCUGGCGUCGCUGUCUCCGCACGACCCGACGCACUUCCUCCCGCCCUAAGGACGCCGCAGCCGGUUGGGUAGCUGCGCGAGUCGGCCAUAAGGACGGGCACGGAAGGUGGCCAGUGGCGUUCCUCGUGUUCGUCGCUGGUCGUUAUCCAGCUCGUCCGUGGCGCGACACCCGACCGAGGUCGAAAGGUCCCGGUUAGGACCUUGCCGUCCCCUCCCCCCGUGGUUGAGCGAGCGCUCCGACAGGCGAUUCCCCGUGCGGUCGUCCCACUCUCCGAGUGGACGGUCCUCGGGUGGCGCCGUUGGUAAUGGAUGCGUUUCGCGUGGGGUUCAGGCGGCUUGCGGCGAGUAGGUCGGUCACCCACCCGACCCGUCUUGAAACACGGACCAAGGAGUCUAACAUGUGCGCGAGUCACGGGGUCUUGUUCAGGCCCAGAGGCGCAAUGAAAGUGAAGGCAGGCCUCGACGCCUGCCGUGUUGGGACUCUCCGCUUGGCGGCGGAGAAGCACCAACGACCCGCCCUCUCCGAUUCAUCGGUUGGGCGGAGUGUGAGCGUACACGUUGGGACCCGAAAGAUGGUGAACUAUGCCUGGGCAGGACGAAGCCAGAGGAAACUCUGGUGGAGGUCCGUAGCGGUUCUGACGUGCAAAUCGAUCGUCAGACCUGGGUAUAGGGGCGAAAGACUAAUCGAACCAUCUAGUAGCUGGUUCCCUCCGAAGUUUCCCUCAGGAUAGCUGGCGCUCGGAGGAAUCAGUCUCAUCCGGUAAAGCGAAUGAUUAGAGGCCUUGGGGCCGAAACGACCUCAACCUAUUCUCAAACUUUAAAUGGGUGAGAAGUCCGGCUUGCAUGAUCGAAGCCCGGACAUUCAGGAUGAGAGCGCCCAGUGGGCCACUUUUGGUAAGCAGAACUGGCGCUGUGGG